GGGAGAUAGGCCUGGUUUCUAUAAACAAUGAUGCAAGACAGAACAUGAUGUGCCAGGAGGGACAGAGUGCCAAGGUGGGGACAAAGGAAUGACGAGUCCCGAAAUAGACCUGUGGGAAAGGUGUUGUGAUGCUGGGAGGCUGGACUGGAUCUUAAAGAAGGCCAGUGUCCACAUCCUGCUCACAUUUGGGACAUCUGUGAGGCAGGGUGCCUCCUUUUUGUCCCUCCAAGAGGACAGUUGGGGGACUUGGCCUCUGGCCGCCUCAAGUUGGGUCAGCACCUGCUGGGCCUCAUCCUGGUUCAUCGUGCAUCAAUGGGAGCGCACCUGGGUUCUGCUGACAUGUGAGAGCUUCUUCACCGAGGGGUUCAGAAAAGUGUGCUCAUGGCCUGUAGAUCUGGAUUCAAAGGGAGAUGAGAAAAAUAGGAACUGAGCCCGUGGCUUGCCUCACCCACUUCCUGAGCCUGCGCAAGGGACAAGACUUUCCUGUGUGGCCUUCUUACGGCAGUCCACAGGGAAGUGGCCUCAUUUUCUGUGUCUGUCCUGCCCAGCGCCCCCACUCUCCUGUGCUGGUCCCAGGCCAUCCCUUAGCCAGAGUGCAGAACUCCAGACCCCCAAUAUUCUCUCAUAUCCUCAGAAUCUUCAGCUUCCAUCCAUGGAUGUUGGCUGAAUCCUGAGUGGGGUCGUAGAAAGAUCUGGUCCUGUGAGUAGGGGGGCGAGGAGGAAGGCAGGGACUUCAGCUGGGCUGUCUACAACCUGAGUCUAAAACACCUAAAGACAAGCACAACUUGCCCCCGCUAGGACGAAUUUCUUGCUCCAGACCGCCUCACUGCAUCUCUAGGGCCAUGUGUAUUCCUGCUAUUUGGCCACAUUCCUUGAGAAAAAUUGCCUAUUAAAAGAAUUUCCUUAUUCACCAGUUAU
This 918-nucleotide long non-coding RNA is filed under the name Homo sapiens (human). RNAcentral's name for it is "HSALNT0151263". Lineage: Eukaryota; Metazoa; Chordata; Mammalia; Primates; Hominidae. The record is from RNAcentral.